RNAcentral lists this ribosomal RNA (267 nucleotides) under uncultured bacterium. RNAcentral's name for it is "partial 16S ribosomal RNA". It matches the Rfam family "Bacterial small subunit ribosomal RNA", at positions 793 to 1055 of the family's 1533-position model. The record is from RNAcentral.
GUCCACGCCCUAAACGAUGUCAACUGGUUGUUGGGUCUUUACUGACUCAGUAACGAAGCUAACGCGUGAAGUUGACCGCCUGGGGGAGUACGGCCGCAAGGUUGAAACUCAAAAGGAAUUGACGGGGACCCGCACAAGCGGUGGAUGAUGUGGUUUAAUUCGAUGCAACGCGAAAAACCUUACCCACCUUUGACAUGUACGGAACCCUUUAGAGAUAGAGGGGUGCUCGAAAAGAGAGCCGUAACACAGGUGCUGCAUGGCUGUCGU